UUUGUGGAAUAAUUUGUGUCUAAAUUCUUUUUGUUUUCUUGGCUAUUGAUGCAGUGUGCAUGAUCAAUCAUGUUUCUUCUCUUUUGCAGAUUAAAUCAGCUUUUGCAAUGGCAUUUACAACCUUGACAAAUCCAAAGACCAUCUUGAGCCUAGGGCCAAACAGAAGCAUUCUUGGUACAAUAAUUAGGCCAGACCUAGUCUUGCUGGAGCGCAAAGGAGGAUCUAAUGGUGAGAUAACUUUUAACAGCUUACUUCCUGGAGCAGGGGAGCCAUUACAAAUGUUGAGUACAUAAAAGCACCAGGUCGGCCAUGCUACUAUUUCCGCCCCAGCACGGAUCGCUUUAGCCAAGUGAUGCGAGCAGAACACGGGAGCAAACAUGAGCUGACCAGAGAUGAGAACAACCAGGAAAACAUACCGACCAUAGGUAUAUACCGAGCCGAUACUCAUCCCCAAGAAAGCGAGAACACGAUCCCACAGAAUCGCGGUAGUUGCGCUUUUCCCAGAACCGUUGAAGGGCACGCGAGACCCACGUUUGCCCACAAUGUAACAGUUAGAGCCCCAUGAGGGGCUGCCACCACCCGAAAAAGGAGGGAUACAGGGUAAACGGAAAACGGGAGACAGAGAGCGGCUAUAAAAGAGAAAGAAAUCGAUGAAGAAAGGAUAGAAAAACUGAGAGGGAAAACGCUGCCAAAUUGCAACCAGGCCAUUUCCUUACAAAUUUCUAACAAACUUCUUGAAUCCAAAUUACAUUGUUUUCCCGUAAACACCUUGUGCUAAUUUAGGCAUCGGAGGGUUUACGCCGGCAAAACCACCAGCGUCUCUAACCCAUUUUUGUGAACGCAGGUCUAGUGAGAGAAAUGAGGGUGAUUCCAGCCUUAGUGGUUCGAACAAACAUUUGAUAAUAUAAACGUUGGUGAAAGAAUCUGGUCGGUCCAAGGGCGAGCAGAUUUCAGCAUCAACAUUUUAGCGCCGUCUGUGGGGAGCUGGAUAAAAAGCUACCACCGAAUCAGUAAUUACUGGAGAAACAGCGAACGAUUAGAUAUGGAUGUGCCGAGAAAGGAUGCUUUGAGGGAGGAUAACGAAACUGUGGAGAGGAUGAGGCAAGACCGAUUGGAGCGGAUGGAGAAACAAAUGGAGACUCUCGCGACCAUACUGUAUGAGCUGAGGGAUGAGCGGAGAAAGAAUUGUGAAACCCCCGUGGGGAGAGAUGAUGUUGGAGCAGAACCCAGCUUCCGGAGGCGUAGAGUUGAGGAAAUCCCUCCGCCGGUAGACCAACUUAAUGGGGUGCAUCCCCACAGAAGCACUAGUCGGGCUUCAGGAGAACGAAUAGAUGAAGGGAGGGACCAACCUCGCCUCGGACGGGUACCGAAGAUUGAUGGCCGAGGGGCCAGUAUUGAUGAAGGAGAGCUCAGACAGCGGUUGCAAAACACCGAGCAGGAACGAGCUCAGAUAGCUACGCGUGAUCUUGACCGUGCCAUAGAAUUGUAGGAAGAAGUGCGCAGAUUAGCGCAAGUGAUAGAGGAGAUACAGGGCAAGAGAAAGCCCCCGAGCUGGAGGAUAAUGCUGGAUGAAGAAUCUCAACUAUCAGCUGUGAUCAUGGGUACCAUAAUCCCAAGAGAUUUCCGCUUCCCCGACCUCAAAUACUCCGGGCGAAGUGAUCCACUGGUGCAUAUUGAACGUUUCAACGACGUGACGGGUGUUCAAGGGUUAACACCAGCCCAGAGAUGUAGGGUGUUACCAUUGACACUGGAAGGACGAGCCCGAGAAUGGUACCGCAAGCUGUCACGAGGAAGUAUCAGAGGGUACGAGCAGAUGUGCCAAGAGUUGGCUGAACAGUUCCGAGGAGCAGUGGCCCUAGAGGAUGAUAUGAUGGAGCUAAUGGGAAUGAAGCAGGGGGAACAAGAAUCCCUUCGGAAUUUUGUAAAACGAUACCACCGAGCCGUGCUUGAUUUGGGGGCCUUCAAUCACCCGCAGGCGUUGAGGGAUUAAAGGAGGGAGUGAGGAUAGGCCGGCUAUGGUAUAACCUGAGAAGUCCCUUGGUACAGAAUUACUCAGCGGGGUAUGAGCAGGCAAAGAGAGACAUUGAAAUCGAAGAGGAAAAGUCGGCGAGGAUAAAAAGUGAACAGCUGGAGGAGCUGAGAAGAAAGGAAAGGAGAACCCCGAGUGGGAGCGGAUCGGGAAAGCGAGCUGGGGAAUCCUCAGCUAUGGGCGGAAUAUCAGCUCGGUCCCGUCCUUACCCUGUAGCUUUGAGACCACAACAGUUCCAACACAGCCGAGCCCAACGUCCGCGCACUUCAUUCCCGGAGCGGCAACGAGAAUUCAGGUAGAUGGCUGCCCGCCCUUAUCACAACGCUCCCAGAGCGUUACAUGCAAGUGGUUCCAGGGCAAGAAGACCAGACCAGCUAGCGACUAUACCAGCCCGAGAUGACAUUCAGGAUAGCCGAGCAGUUCAACUGGUAGACCAAAGCUUGGCAUAUAGACAGUACACUCCAUUGAAGAUCUCCAUGGAGGAAUUGUAUGAGAGGAUCGAAGGACGAGGCCUGCUGUACCCUCCAGCCCCUAUAACAAAACCGGCUCACCGACGGGAUAAGAACAGAUUCUGCAAGUUCCACGACACUCAUGGUCACACAAUCGACCAAUGUCGUGACCUGAAGAUUCAGGUGAAGGACUUAGUACGGAACCGGUACUUGGAUGAGUAUGUACAGGGGGUGUCCCCGAUCAUCGAAUCACAGUAUACACGGGAUGAAGAAGUUCAGAGGGGUCUGGGAGGUGAACAGCCGACCAUCCAUGUGAUAGCUAGGGGGCCAACAUUGGCUGGAGAUUCGAACAGAGCACGGAAGAACUAUGGGAGAUACGCCAUGAUUGGAAAAGAGGUGCUUCUAAAUUUGCCAGCGGCCAAGAAGGCGAAGGUACGGCAAGUUCCCAUUAUGUGGACGGAGGAUGACGAGGAGGGUAUUUUGUAUCCUCAUGAGGAUGCACUGGUGAUUAAAGCAUGGUGGCUAGCACAGAAUUGCAGCGAAUACUGGUGGACACGGGCAGUUCAGUUGACAUUCUAUUUAAGUCAGCCCUAGAUGAUAUGGGGAUUUUAGAUUUAAAGCUGGAGCGGACGAAUACAUCCUUAAAAGGAUUUGGAGGGGGACGAUUAACUCCCUUGGGGAUCAUUGAACUCCCGAUUACUAUGGGGACAAAGUCGUUUGAAAGAACGGUGAUGUUGGACUUCGUCGUGGUAGAGGAAAGAAGCCCUUAUCAGAUGAUAUUGGGGAGACCGUUCAUGAGGAUAAGCCAAUGCGUUGUAUCAACGCAUUAUUUGGCGCUAAAGUACAAAGUAAAUGGAGUGGUAGGCGUUGUAAAAGGCGACCAGAGGAUGGCAAGGAGCUGUUAUGCUACAGCAGCCAAGGAGACAUUACAGGUUACUUCUCUGGAUAAUCGAGGAGAUUCUAAAAAGGGUCGCCAAGAACCUGUUGAAAAGCUAGAAGAGAUUGUUAUAAGCAGAAGUGACCCGAGCAGAGUGGUUAAGAUCGGAUCAGGACUGGUCGGGACAGUAAAAGACGAGCUGGUAAAGUGCCUACAAUCCCAUGUAGAUAUAUUCGCCUGGUUUCACGGGGACAUGCCAGGAAUUGAUCGCAGGGUAGCUUGCCACAAGUUGGCAAUCAAGAAGGGGGCAAGGCCGGUGAGACAGAAGAGGAGAUGCUUUAACCAGGAAAGGUACGAGGCCAUAAACACCGAGGUGGAGAAGCUGUUGAAAGCAGGAUUUAUAAGGGAGGCCAAGUACCCGGAUUGGAUUUCCAAUGUAGUACUGGUGAAGAAGGCCAACGGGAAGUGGAGAAUGUGUGUGGACUUCACAGAUCUUAAUAAGGCGUGCCCGAAAGACAGUUUUCCUCUGCCAAAGAUAGACCAAUUGGUGGAUUCGACAGCAGGUCACAGUCUGCUCAGCUUCAUGGAUGCUUUUUCGGGAUACAACCAGAUACCCAUGGACGAGCAGGAUGAGAAAAACACCACCUUUAUAACUAAUAUGGAUUUGUUUUGUUACAGGGUGAUGCCCUUUGGCCUGAAAAAUGCAGGAGCUAUCUAUCAAAGGUUAGUGAACAAAGUUUUCAAACCAUUGAUCGGGCAUACUAUGGAGGUAUAUGUAGACGAUAUAAUCACAAAGUCCAAAGAACCGAGGGAUCACGUGAAACACUUGGAAGAAACCUUUGAAUUGUUGAGGAAGUAUGAAAUGAGGCUAAACCCGGAGAAGUGUGCAUUUGGGGUUAGCUCGGGCAAAUUUUUAGGAUUCCUGGUAAGCCACCGAGGGAUCGAGGCCAACCCGGAAAAAAUACGGGCGGUGACCGAAAUGAGAUCCCCACGAACAGUUAAGGAGGUGCAGAGCCUUAUAGAGAAGUUGGCAGCAUUAAACCGAUUCAUCUCGCGGGCCACAGAUAAAUGCCACCCUUUCUUCCAAACCAUAAAGAAAGGGAAAAAAAUAGAGUGGACAUCAGAAUGCGAGGAAGCGUUUGGGCAGCUGAAGGAAUACCUGACCCGGGCCCCAUUACUAUCGACUCCGAGAGAGGGUGACCAGCUACUGCUGUACUUAGCAAUCUCUAAAUGGGCUACCAGCUCGGUAUUAGUCAGGGAAGAAGAAGGAAAGCAACACCCAAUAUACUACACGAGCAAGGCCCUAGUAGAUGCGGAAACCAGAUACCCAUUGAUGGAGAAGUGGGCGCUGGCUCUAAUAACGGCAGCACGAAAACUCCGACCAUAUUUUCAGGCCCAUCAGGUUAUUGUGAUGACCGACCAGCCCCUUCGGCAAACACUUCAAAAACCAUAUGCAUCGGGUCGAUUAGUAAAAUGGUCCGUAGAGUUAAGUGAAUUUGACCUCUCCUAUAUGCCCCGAGGAGCAAUCAAAGCCCAAGCUCUGGCAGAAUUUAUGAUUGACCGAGCUGAUACAGGAGACGAAAUUCGGGAGGAGCAACCAACAGAGCAGGAGAAGCCAGAGGGGGUGUGGUUGGUAAUGGUUGACGGAUCAUGUAGUGAGCAAGGAUUCGGAGCAGGAGUUGUAAUACGGAGCCCAGAUGGAACCGAAAUAACGUAUGCAGUGAAGUUUGAAUUUCAGCUCACAAACAACCAAGCUGAAUAUGAGGCCUUUAUCACCGGGCUCGGACUUGCACACGCUCUAAAAGCAGAGAGGGUAGAAAUUCGAGCAGAUUCCCAACUGGUGUGUAAUCAGCUCAAUGAUCAGUUCCAAGCAAGGGGAGAGAAUAUGGGUCUUUAUUUGAAGAAGGCGAAGCAGAUGGUUGGGCUUUUCCAAGCGGUGGAGGUAAAGCAGAUAUCCCGGAAUGAGAAUUACCGAGCAGAUAUGUUGGCUAGGAUGGCUGCCAUUGCAGAUCCAAAAUUACCUAAGUCGGUUCUACUAGAGGUGAGGACCUCGCCAAGUAUAGAGGAAGAAGCAGAGGUGAUGAGAAUAAGUACUGGAGAAUCCUGGAUGGACCCGAUUCGCGCAUAUGUCCGCGAUGGAGUUUUACCAGAGGACAAAAGGCAAGCAAGAAAAUUAAAAUGCCGAGCAGCGAGGUAUAUGCUACUGGAUGGAGUGCUGUACCGCCGAGGGUUCACCUUGCCCCUUUUGAGAUGUUUGGAUGAUGAGGAGGCGGAUUAUGUGCUGAGGGAGAUUCAUGAGGGAAUUUGCGGCAAUCACUCGGGAGCAAGAACUUUAGCCUUCAAGGCACUCCGGCAAGGAUACUUCUGGCCAACCAUGCACCAGGAUGCGAAAAGGAUGGCAAAGAAUUGUAAAACAUGCCAAAGCUUCUCCGAGGUUCCUACACAACCCCCGGAAAAGCUGACGGCUAUGACAUCCCUGUGGCCUUUCGCUCAAUGGGGAAUCGACUUGAUUGGUCCGUUGCCUAAGGGACGAGGAGCGGCGACACAUACAAUUGUGGCAAUAGACUACUUCACCAAGUGGGUGGAAGUGGGAGUCCUCAGCCAAAUAACAGAGAGAAAGACAACAUAUUUUAUUUGGAAAAAUAUCAUCUGCAGAUAUGGGAUCCCCUACGCCAUCAUCACAGACAAUGGGAGGCAAUUUGACAAUAGCAACUUCAGAGAAUUUUGCCGAAACUUGGGAGUGGACCUGAAGUUCUGCACCCCGCACACCUCCAGGCAAACGGACAAGUGGAAGCAGCCAAUAAGGUGAUAAAGAAGCUCCUGAAGACUAGAUUGGGAGAGAAGAAUGGAGCUUGGGUUGACGAGCUACCAGGAGUAUUGUGGGCCUACAGGACAACUCACAAAACUGCCACAGGGGAAACCCCGUUCGCUUUAGUUUUUGGUCAAGAGGCGGUAGUCCCAGCAGAAGUGGGAGUGGGGACACAUCGGACGGAAUAUUUUACUGAGGAGCAAAAUGACGAGCAGAUCUGCUUAAGUCUGGACCUGCUGGAGGAAAAAAUGGAAGGUGCAUCGCAGAAAGUGGCCCAGUGUCAACAAAGGGUCAUGCGCUAUUACAACAAGAACGUACACGUGAGGCAGUUCCGAGCAGGAGAUUGGGUACUUAGGAAGGUGAACCAAAACACCAGGGAUCCUAACCAUGGCGCUCUUGGCCCAAAGUGGGAAGGCCCAUACCGAGUGAUACGAGCUACUGGACCAGGAGCAUAUAAAUUAGCGUACCAAGACAGACGAGACGUGAAGAGGUCAUGGAACACCGAACACCUGAAGAAGUAUUUCCAGUAAGCAAAAUGCUCUAUUAAAUCCUCACUCUGGCAAGUUAUUUCUGUUACAAUGCCUGAUGGCCUGUUGCACAUGCAUAUAUUCUGUAUUUUUGUAAUACAUUCAAAUUUCAAUAAAGAUGAAUUCAGCAUGAAAUCCCCUGCUAGCGAGCCUAAUAAGAAAUUUUUUACUAAGGCAACAAAGUGCCUGUUUCUGCUCGGUCAACGAAAGACCAACAGCUAAAACUUCAAAAAUUUUACUAAGGCAAGUAAGUGCCUGCUUCUGCUCGGUCAACGAAAGACCAGCAGCUAAAUUCUGAAAAAUUUUACUAAGGCAAGUAAGUGCCUGCUUCUGCUCGGUCAACGAAAGACCAGCAGCUAAAUUCUAAAAAAUUUUACUAAGGCAAGUAAGUGUCUGCUUCUGCUCGGUCAACCAAAGACCAGCAGCUAAUUUCUCAAAAUUUUACUAAGGCAAGUAAAUGCCUGCUUCGGCUCGGUCAAGGAAAGGCCAACAGCAAACUCUACGAAUGUUUCUCCAAGGGAAGCAAAUGCCUGCUCCUACUCGGUCAUCAAUAAACCAGUAGAUAAUUUUACAAAAAUGGUGAUCAGGCAAAUAAAUGCCUAUUCCUGCUCGGUCCACCAAAGAACCAGCAGGCAAAAUUAGAUAAAUUGUCAAGUUAAUUUGCAAAAAAUAAUCCAUGAGCAAACACCAGACAAGAGAGCCAAUGGAAAGCAGCUAGAAAUUUUAUAAAUGAUUAAUUGUUUACAAGACUAAUGGAACUUUAAAGUCUAUACAAAAAUAGACCUAAGAAUUAGGAAGGUCGACGGCUUCAGCAGGUGAAGGAUCAGCUAUCUCAGGAGGUGGAAGAUCAGCAAUACUGGGAGGAGGCGGCACGGACCCUUGUCCCACUUCAAAAGCACGUCCCCCAGCUCCCCCCUCCUGCACCCCAUCCAAAGGAGCCUCCGCCUGAUCCUGCUCACCCUGCUCCUUAUCUCCCUGGCCGACCUCAGCCAUAUACCUCUCCACUCCAGCCUCCAGUUUGCUCAUGUCCAGUUCGGGAUAUUCUUCCUUGAGCACGGACAUAAUGCACUUAUAGCUGAAAGCAACUCUAGAGUCGUACUCGGCAUCCAGCCGAUCAUCCACGUCAGCGGAUUUGCCCUUCGCUUCGGCCAGCUGUUCCUCCAGGGAUUUGAUUUCCCCCUCAAGGGCGGUCCUCAGAGUAUCCCUUUCACUUUGGGCAGCCUGAAGAUCAGACUUCAAGUCACCCAACUCGCCCUCAAGCUUGGAGGUAGUGGACUCAGUAAUUGCAACUUUCUCCUCCAGCUCCGUAACCUGCUUGUUCAGCUCGGCCAGCUUCUCCUUCGACCGAUCAGCAGACUCGACCCGCUUCUUCAAGUCCUGAUUUUCAGCUUGGAGUUUCCUUUCAUGGCGCGUGACCCUGUUCUUGUAGCAGGAAACUAUGGUAGCCAGCUUGAAGGAGACCCUCUGGACAGAACCAGCUAAUUCAUUGAGAUUCAUACUCUCAAUGUCUUGAACCAUUUUCGGUCCCAUUGACUUCCCAUAAUCCCUCUGAUACGGGGUCAAGUAAUCACCCUGAUCACGAGCCGGAAGAGGGGAAGAUCGAUCCCCGGAGCGAGUGCUGACCUCAGAACUUUUUUCAGCAACUUUCUCCCCACCACUCUUACGAGGUGGGGGAGGGGGCAAAGCAGGAACAAGAGCCUUGGAAGGGCCGACACUGGACUUCUUUGGAGGAGGAGGAGGAGGAUUGCUGGAGCUGCUCGAAGUCCGACCACGCUUUCUGGUCAUAGCGCUGAGAAUCUUGCUAUCCAUCCCAACAGCUAUGUCGACUAAGCCCGAGCCGACCAGAUUGGUUGACGACAAGAGGUCUUGACAGGUAGACGCGUUCAAUAGAGUCGUUUCCACCUGAAGCAAAUGUCGAUCCUCAAGCCCCCCGAUCAAACCCCACGACUCUGAAAUAGCAAAGAAGGUUAAAGAACCCAAUAAGUGGCAGUUUGAUUAAGAAUUUAGGCAAAAAAUGAACGACUUGGGGUGACAAAAUUCGUGGGAAGGUAAAUAUCACCACCCAACGAAUGAGCUGCCGGACACCAAUUUCCCCCAGCAAAGAAGAAUUUGUUCUUCCAAUUUUUGCACGAGGAGGGGAAGCCGGUGAUUGGUUUCCUCUUCGCAGAGCUCGACAUGAAAUAAUACCAGCCUGCUUCCUUCGGGCUACUCCUCAGCUGGUAUAGGUGCUUCACUUCAACAAGGGAGGGCUCCUCUAAUCCACACCUCUCCCACAACACAUACAUAGCCGAGAGAACCCUCCACCCGUUGGGAUGUAGCUGACCUGGGGCCAGGUGCAUACCACCUAGUAUCUUAGCAAAAUAGCGUUGAAGGGGCAGCCGAGCUCCUAAUUUGAAGCUCUCCAGAUGCAUCGUCACAUACCCCCGCGGAGGUCGAUUGGGAAUGUCACCUUUCCCAGGAACUACCAGGAGAACAUCCGCAGGAAUGUUGUAAAGGUUCCUCAGCUUGAACAGAUCAGUUUGGGUGGUCGCACAAGCUGUGAAGUCAAUAGGGUAAGAAUCCGCCUCCACCCUAUGACCAAGGUGCCUUCUCUAAGGGGGUCUGCUCGGUCCGGAACUACUCCCCUCACCAUCACCAACUCCUUCAGGGACCCCAACCCCACCAUAGCUGUGGUUCUCACCAGAGCCCGACGCAGGUCCACCUCUAUUCCCUACAAGCUCUAGUUCGGGGGAGGGAGAGACAACCAGGGGGCGUGGGUACUCAAGGGUAUCCCUGCCAUGGGAAGGACCUAUACUACUGGAGGGACCUAAGAAAUCGGUAGGUAUUGGCACAUUGAGGCCUGAAUCCCCUGAUUCUUCAUCACCCUCAUCAACAAUUAACUUUUUUUUCCGGUUUGACAUAUCGAAAUCCCAAAAGAAAAACAAAGAAAACUCGAAUAUACGGAUACAACAGGGGGGCAAAACAAAACCCAAUCAACAACAACCAAAGCAGGAGUUAAAGGUUGUACCUGGAAUACACUGGCACUGAUAAUGUUGUUGUGAUGAAGGUAAAAUCCCGCAAAUGGAAGUCCCAGACGCAGAGAGUGUGAACGAAGUUCGUAGGAAUUGACUCGUGACAGAAGAAUGAAUAGAACGAAACAACGAGGAUUUAAGUCUAGGGAUUUGAAGCGAAAAGGGAAAUGAAAGCAUUUACGUGAGGGAGAUGCCAGCUCACUCACCAAAUAUCGAGGACAGAUAGCCUGUCGUUUCAAAUUUCAAAUGCGAAGAGUCUGGAAAGGCCACGUCACUAACCGUUACAAGAGGCCAACUUAGAUGAAAGCCCAGAUAGGCAAUGGAUACACUCAUUCAGGCCCAUGUUCAGGUCAGGAACCCCCCAGAAGAAGAAUGAUGCCUCAGGUCAGUUCCAAUAAACAGAAGAUCAGAUGAGAAGCUCCCCGGGUUGGUAAGAUUUGACCAUCAGUUUCUACUCUAAACUCAUUUCACUCGCCAGACCAGAAACUGGGGGACUAGUGUUAAGUACAUAAAAGCACUAGGUCGGCCGUGCUACUAUUUCUGCCCCAGCACGGAUUGCUUCAGCCAAGUGAUGCGAGCAGAACACGGGAGCAAACAUGAGCCGACCAGAGAUGAGUACAACCAGGAAAACAUACCGACCAUAGGUAUAUACCGAGCCGAUACUCAUCCCCAAGAAAGCGGGAACAUGAUCCCACAGAAUCGCGGUAGUUGCGCUUUUCCCAGAACCGUUGAAGGGCACGCGAGACCCACGUUUGCCCACAAUGUAACAGUUAGAGCCCCAUGAGGGGCUGCCACCACCCGAAAAAGAGGGAUACAGGAUAAACGGAAAACGGGAGACAGAGGGCGGCUAUAAAAGAGAAAGAAAUCGAUGAAGAAAGGAUAGAAAAACUGAGAGAGGGAAAACGCUGCCAAAUUGCAACCAGGCCAUUUCCUUACAAAUUUGUAACAAACUUCUUGAAUCCAAAUUACAUUAUUUUCCCGUAAACACCUUGUGCUAACUUAGGCAUCGGAGGGUUUACGCCGGCAAAACCACCGGCGUCUCUGACCCAUUUUUGUGAACGCAGGUCUAGUGAGAGAAAGGAGGGUAAUUCCAGCCUUAGUGGUUCGAACAAACAGUCGAUAAUAUAAAUGUUGGUGAAAGAAUCUGGUCGGUCCAAGGGCGAGCAGAUUUCAGCAUCAACAACAAACACACUUUGGAGAUCGGCAGGAGAUUAUGUGCAAUUGGCAGUCAGAUUAUGAAGAAGAGUCAUUUCCCCGUGGAAAUGGUAGUGUGCAGUCUUCUGGUAAAAAGAGGAAAUCUUUUUCUAAAGAGAAGUCUACCAGUAAGAAGAAGACGGAAGAAACUGGGGAGUCGAAAAGCCGUGAAGAAGGUGGCUAAAAGAAGGAGAAGAGUGGUAAAAUGAAACGUUGGAGACAAAACCGAGGUCAUGCAAAUGGUUUUAGCUGAUAUAUUGGUGGGUGCCCAUGGAGUUGUUAAUCCCCUUUCAAGCUUGCGCUUUGGCAUGUCUACACCAUUUUUGUAUCAAGUUUGCCACAGUGGUUUUUCUUGAUGCAUUCGGUCAUUUCAUCAAUCCUUGCAGGAGGAAUGGAAAUGAAGAAUGCCACAUAGUUUCAACAUUCAAGUGGCAAUCGUGCUGCUGUUGGGAUGACUGAGUAUAUAUGAAUCUGAACUUGAAGGAGCCCAAAUAAGUUGGAGAAAUUCAUAUGCGUUCAAUCAAUUGGGAAUUUUGACAUUUGAAAAGUAACCACAAGCAGCCAGAGGAGUUUGCAGAGCACAAUGUGUCCAUCUAAUCGAUAGUUUUGAUGUAUUAUUUCAUGUGUUGCUCAACCGAUUGUUUUGGCUUAUAUUCAUGUAUGUUCAUUCAUUCCCUUAUUGGUGUAUUGAAAGAAUUAAUAAAACAAUCAUUUUUUCUUCCCAUAAUACAUGUGCUUUGCAACAGGUAAUGGGGAGUUUUAUUACUGUUCAUUUGUUCUUCAUAAACUGCACAGAAAAGAACCUUCACAGUCGAUAUUAUUCAGGUCAAGUUUUCUAUAGCUUUUAUAUGUACAUAGGCUUUGAGAUUAACAAUCCGUGUCUUCAAAGUUUACGACAUUUAAUGUUUAAAGAACCUAAGAAUUGUCUUCAUGAAUACAGUACGGAUACUUAACAUGCAAUUAAGAGCACAGAAUGAAAAAGAAGAAAAGCCUCAAUCGAUAUAUACACGGCAAGGCAACACAUGCUGAAGAGUGGACUGGAGACUCAUAAGCAUAAUACCUGCUCCUUUUCCUUUUAUUCAUUUGAUAAUGACGGGUCAGAAUUUCUAUGCUACAUCUUCUAUCAUUCUGGGUUAUCUGGAGGUCAAUUGUCGUAUCUGAUCAGUUGACGAGCAAUCAAUCUCCAUGGCAAAGUUUGUUUCAUCACCAAUUGGUCGUGCCUGCACAACCAACAGUAUCAAUGGCAAGCUAUCAUCAACCAAAGGUUGUUUCAUAUUUGUUCAACUCGAUCCAUAACUGGGCAAGCAAAUUAAGCAUGGUUUUACAACCAAUCUGUGCAGUGUAUGAUCAUAACCAACAAGAUAACAUGUACACGGACACGAGGAAAGAAAAUUAUUGAGUGGUAAAGUUACGAUAUUUAUAAUUAUAUCUAAAUAUAAUUAUACCAAACCUCGUGAAGAUAUUUAAAAAAAAAGUAAUGUGAGUACCUCUGAUUUGACAUGCACUGAUCCAUUUUGGUCAACUGAAAAUCUUGCUGCAAUUCUUGGGCCAAUUGUCACCCUCAAAUGGGUUAAUGAUGGAAGUAUCAAGUGACAACCCACUGGGCACAAGUGAACGAGUUUUGGUAAAUUUCGAAGAUUCAAUCGCUGGACACCAGGUAGCACAAUUUCUUUGCACUCUUCGACAGCAUUAUCUCCAACAAAGAUUUGCUCCAACUUUUCACAACCUGCAAUAUCUAAUUCUUUCAGCUGCUGAAGAUUUCGAGCUACAUUGACAUGAAACAGACUUUUCAAAUUGUCGCAUCCGAAGACAUAUAUCUCUAAGAGAUUUGAGAAGCACGCCGCUUGCUGAUGCUGUUCCUCUUCUUCAUCAUCUUGAAAGAUGAUUUGCUCCAACUUUUCACAAAAUGAAAUACGUAAUUUUUUCAGCUGUUGAAGAUUUCGAGCUACAUUGACAUGAAAAAAACUUUUCAAAUUGUCGCAAUCGGAGAUAGAUAUCUCUAAGAGAUUUGAGAAGCACGCAGCUUGCUGAUGCUGUUCCUCUUCUUCAUCAUCUUGAAAGAUGAUUUGCUCCAACUUUUCACAAUAUGCAAUAUAUAAUUUUUUCAGCUGCUGAAGAUCUCGAGCUACAUUGACAUGAAACAGACCUUUCAAAUUUCCGCAUCCGAAGAUAGUUAUCUCUAAGAGAUUUGAGAAGCACGCCGCUUGCUGAUGCUGUUCCUCUUCUUCAUCAUCUUGAAAGAUGAUUUGCUCCAACUUUCCACAACUUUCAAUAUAUAAUUUUUUCAGCUGCUGAAGAUCUCGAGCUACAUUGACAUGAAACAGACUUUUCAAAUUGUGGCAAAAGUAGAUAGUUAUCUCUAAGAGAUUUGAGAAGCACGCCGCUUGCUGAUGCUGUUUCUCUUCUUCAUCAUCUUGAAAGAUGAUUUGCUCCAACUUUCCACAACUUUCAAUAUGUAAUUUUUUCAGCUGCUGAAGAUCUCGAGCUACAUUGACAUGAAACAGACUUUUCAAAUUUUCGCAUCCGAAGAUAGUUAUCUCUAAGAGAUUUGAGAAGCACGCCGCUUGCUGAUGCUGUUCCUCUUCUUCAUCAUCUUGAAUGAUGAUUUGCUCCAACUUUUCACAACGAUAAAUAGAUAAUUUUUUCAGCUGCUGAAGAUCUCGAGCUACAUUGACAUGAAACAGACCUUUCAAAUUAUCGCAUCCGAAGAUAGUUAUCUCUAAGAGAUUUGAGAAGCACACCGCUUGCCAAUGCUGUUCCUCUUCUUCAUCAUCUUGAACGAUGAUUUGCUCCAGUGCCGAGCAAGAGCUAAUACUUACAACUUUCAAUUUCGACAGAUGUCGAGCAAGAGUCGUUGAGAAGAUACGUCUAAGUUUAGGGCAAUUCUUCACUGAUAGAAUGGAUAGAUUUUGCAGGUUUAUGAAUUGCGAGGGACCUUUCCAUAUACAUUCUAGUUCGGGUAAAGCAGAGAACCUAAGAGUCUUUAAACUUGGGAAUGAUAAGAAAUGUUCUCCUUCUCCUCCAUCAAAUUCAAAACCCUCAGGUUGAAAUACCACUUGUGUUAAACAACCUGCAAUUUCUAGAAGCUUCAAAUUUUUUAAGCCAUGCCGCAUCCGAGCAAUAUUAUUUACCUUCAGAAACUUCGAAUCCUGGGAAGACAAAUCAAUCCAUGAAAUUAAAAUCUGUUGUGUUGAAAUUGAGAUAUGAGACAACUACGCCAGGAAAAAAAGAAAAAAACAAUAAAUAAAACAAAGGAUGAAGGGACCUCAAAUUGGUUUUCGCUCUUAAAAGCUAUUGCUAUUUGUAAAACAGGCUUGGUUUCAUUUGGUUAUUAAUAAUUUUUCCGUUUUGCAAAAGUAAGUUAGUGGUUAUUAAUAACUUAUAACCUUAUUCUCUAUUCUUCUCUGAAAAAUUGCUAGAUUAAUAAAUUUUGGAACAAUAAUUCAACUUAAUCUUAAUUAGCCCAUGACUAGUUUAAAAAAAAAAAGGCUAAUGAAUAAAACAUAGAAAUUAUCUCCAUGACCAUGAACCUAUAUAUAAAAUUAUCAAUGUUAUAAAAAAAAUUAUUGUGCAUUUUAUAAAAUUAAGAUGAUAUGUUAAUAUAUAAAAUUUACAAAUUAUAUAAUAUAUAAAAUUUACAUUAUAAAAUUGAAUUCGUUUUGUGCUUUUUAUAAAAUUAAAAUGAUAUGUAAAAGUUAAAGAGCGAUAUUAUCAUUUAGAGAAAAAGAUACCUAUACCCUCAAGAUUUGGAGAAAUGACAUGUAAACCUUUAAGUUUUCAAUAAGGGUCAACAAGAUUCCUUUCUAACUAUAUUACCCUUUCUCUUUAUUAACUCAUAAAGAUUUACUCCAAUGCUUUAUAAUAAAUAUAAAUAUAAUAUUAAAAUAAAUAUAACAAUAUAUACAUUUUAAAACACUUUCAAUAUUUAAAAAAAUAUUUUAAUACUUUACAAUCUUAUUUAUUUUAAACUAGAUUUUAUAAUAAAUAGAAACAUAAUAUUAAAAUAAAUACACAAAAUUAAUUUAUUUUCAAUAUCAUAUAAAAUAAUUUAAAUAUUAUCAAUACAUGAGAUAUAUUUUAUUAAUUGUAAAAUCUAUUUAACUUAAAGAUUUUAUUUAAAAUUUUAUAAUAAAUACAAAUAUAUAAUUAAAAUAAAUAUAAUAACUUACAUUUUUAAAAUUAUUUUAUAUAUUAAAAAUUAUUCCAAUAUUGUUAGUCUAGUAGACUAAUUAAACAUUUAAAUUAUAUUUGUAUUUAUUUAAAAAAUUUAAAAUUAGUUCGUUCAGUUAAUAUAUACACCGAUAUUAUACUCAAAAGGGAGUCUUUGUGUCUUUUAUUAAAAAUUUAAAGGUUUACGUAAUCAUUUCCUUAAACCUUAAGGGUGUAGGUCUCCUUUUCUUUAUCAUUUAUUUAAAAGGUUUGACAUAUAAGAAGAGUAUAUAUAUUGUUUAAAACAUAUAAAAAAUAAAUUUGAAGGUUUACAUAAUCAUUUCCUUAAACCUUAAGGGCGUAGAUCUCCUUUUCUUUAUCAUUUAUUUAAAAGGUUUGACAUACAAGAAGAGUAUAUAUAUAGUUUAAAACAUAUGAAAAAUAAAUUAAGUAUCGACAACUCAAAGAUUUUUAUAAUUUUAGAAUUAUUUACUAAGGAUAUUUAUAGGUGUAUAUGUAUAUGUAUAUGUAUAUGUGUACACACACACACACUUAUAUAUAUCUCUAAUCAUUCUCAGGUUUGAGCACUUUUUUUUUUAAUGCAGACAUACUGUUAAACCGUGCGGCUUAAGAGAAUUAAUUUUCAAUAUAUUAUAAAGUCAUUUGGUUUAAUAGCUUAAAAUUGACUAUAUUAAACUCCACAGGUUAAAAGUGUGUCCUCAUGAAAAAAGAAUACAUAUAUAAGCAUUCUCAGGUGUGAGCACUCUCAUUUGUUUUAAUGCAGACAUACUGUUAAAUCGUACAACUUAAUAGAAUUAAUUUUCAAUACACUAUAAAGCUGUGUGAUUUAAUAACUUUAAACACCAAUUAUAUUAAACUCUAUAUCUUAAAAGUGCGUUCACAUAAAAAAAGAACGAGGGCGCCCGCAUUUUAUAUACACACAUGCGGUGACGCUAUCACUCAUUGUAAAGAUUUAUAGAUGUGGGGGUUUAGGCGUCAAUUAAUACUUGGCAUGUCCCCAGGUUAUGCUAUAAAUUUUGACACCAAUCGUCAUAUGUAAUAAUUUGAGAAUAGCCCCCAAUUUAUCAAUUUGAAUGGUAAAACGUUACAAACUUUUUAUUCUGAAAGAAUGAAAACAAUAAAUUUUAAAUAAAUUAGAAAUUGUGAAAACAUACCUUGCCUGGUGCUUCAAAAACAGUGAAAGACGGACUCGUGUUGCGACACUCUUGUAUCGUCAACUCCUGUAGAGACGGCCACGUUGAAUAAUAACUUCCUUCAUAGAAGCCCAUGAAAUUUGGAAGUACACUAAGAGCUAAUUUUGUGAGCUUAGGAAGCACGAUAUGGCUUCCCUCCCGAACAGGCAUAUUGUUAUCUGCGACAACAAUGUGCUUCAUCAAGCUGCAGUUCCCAACAGAGAGUAUCUCAAGUUGCAUCAGGCUUCGAGCAAGGGACACUGUGAAUAGACACGUCAACGCAUUGCAAUCACUCACCUCUAGAGUUUGUAGAGUAUGACAGACUUCUUUGAAUGCAUUAAAUGAGGUUAAUCGAGAGCCUCGGAUUUCUAUGUGUCCUUGUGAACCUGUUUCGCUAAAAUGCGAGGGAAAAUAUGGAGAAUCAUCCAUGCCAUAGUCACUAGGCAACACACUGAUGUGAUACCUUAUCAAUUUAGGAAAGGUAAAGUCCUUUGGAAUGCAUUUAUCUUCUAUUCUCAGUGACAGCAUGGUCAAGUGAGAUAGUGAAUUCAGCUCGUAGAGGCUAGCUUUACUUAUCUCUGCACCUGUCCCUUCAACGUUCCAAGUACGGAAGCUAUCAUCACCAAUGUACAAUUCUUCUAAUUGAGAUAAACUCCGUAUCAAAUUGGCAGGAAUUCCUCUCAACCAUCUACAGUCACGUAAAUCCAGCUGUCUCAGCUCACCAAGCUCCCCUAAUUCUUUUGCCAAUUCAUCAAUAAAACAAUAUCUCAAACUAAGAAUCUCAAGCCUGCUCAGUGUCCCGAUGGAAGAUAUGUCUUUUAAUCUGCAAUCAUCUAGGCAUAGAGAUCGAAGAUUUGUCAAGAAUUGAAGUGACUUUACCGACAUGACACCACGACGUAAAUGAACAACUUUUAGGGCUUUCAUCUCUACAAAAAAUUGAUCUGAAACUUCCACUCCACCCAUAAAUUUACAAUCCAAUAACAAAGUUUCAAGCUUUGGAUAUGCCAAACUAACAGGAAGAACUUCUAAUUCGUUGGCCAUCAACGAGAUUCCUGCGUAUUGUUCAAGGCCUUUAUCUUUUGGCCAUUGUUUCAAUCCCAAGCCAGCCUUACUAAAGAACUUCUUCUCCUCAGAUGCUAUCCAUACGGCCACAUCCCGAACUAUGUCAUGCAUUUUCACAAGUUCUUCAUUGCCACCAUCUAAUAAUAAACAAGAAGCCUUGAGGUGAUUAAUCGUUACACGCAAUUGGCUCCUUGCUUCUUCAAUUGUGUUGGCAUCUUCGAACAAACCUAGCCCCUUUCCAUAUAUGACCAAAUUCCCCAAAGGAAUUUCAUAAUCUUCAGGGUAUAGUGAACACAACAAAAAUAAUAAUUUUGUUUUCUCAUCCUUCAAAUAAUCGUAGCUCAAUUUAAGAAGAGCAUAGAUGUCAGCAUCCACAUCCUCUACAUUCACAAAUUUCGAAUUUUUCAUUGUUUUCAACACUACAUUCCAUUCAUCAAUAGCCUUUCCUUUCAGAGCACUUCCUAUAGUCACAAUUGCUAAAGGCAGACCCUUGCAUUCUCUAGCUACUUCUUUUGCCAAGUCAUUUAACGUCGGCAAUUCAUCACCUAUACAUGCAUUUCUUUUAAACAAAUCCAAACCUUCUUCUUCCACCAGAGCAUUCAAUGGAAUUUGCGACUCACACCCCAUGGAAUGACAUACUUGUUUCCGGCGGGUAGUUACAAGAAUUUUACAACCAUCACCAAAGGGAACUCCGAUCUUUUCCAGCACGAGUUUUUCCCAAACAUCAUCCAAUAUAAUGAGGAUCUGUUUCUUACCUUUCAAUCUCUUCAUCAAUCGUCCUGCUCUUCCAGCGUCACUCUCCUCGUCUAAUUUCAAGCCUAAUGAGUCUGCCAUCUGACCUUGUAUAUUUCUGACAUUUGGAUUCUGAGAUACAGCAGCAAACACAACCUCUUCAAAAAUAUCCAAUUCCAGCACUUUCUUAGCUACUUCUUUCGCCAUGGUUGUCUUACCGACACCUCCCAUGCCGUAAAGCCCAACCAUGUUGAUCUUAUCAUCUUUCAUCGCUUCAAUAAUCUUAGCAAAAGUAGAUUUUGUAGACUCGAAUUGUACAAAAUCUGUCGAUGAAAAGAAUUCAAUGCCUGGUGGAAUGUGCCCCACUCUGUCGAACUUGCCUCUGUUUACUAGAUUCAACAAUUUGCCUGUCAUUUUUUCUGCUUUUCUACUCAAUCGAUAUCGCCAAGCCAAAUUAGGACACAACCCACUGAGACAUGUCCUAUUUGCUUGUAUUUCUUCUUCUACCUUUUGAACGGCCGUUAUGAUGUCGCGCACUUCGUCAAGCCACUUUUGUACAUCUUUCUCGAUAUCUUCAGCAUUUCUUUCGGCUAUUGUAACUUCUAGCUGCACACGAUCUAAUGCCAAUCUCAAAUUUUUAUCCUCGUUCAUUAAACUUUCAACGUUGCUUUUGAAACGAAAUAAGUAACCGACUUGGUGUAUGGUUGCUUCCACCAAGUAUUCUCCAAUUUUGGAUAAAGCACCAUUCGAAAUUUCCGUUGCCAUUUCAAGCCUAGUUAAUAUUAAAAGUUCAUUAGGAUAAAUGCAACCCAAGCAAGUUAAUUAUAAAAAUUAUAGGAUUUGAGAAUGUUGGAAACUUUGAAUUAUACCUUGUUUCAGUAGAUGCACAAGUGGAAAAUUGCAACCUGUGGUGUGGAUAAUAAUUAAAGCAAAUGCCACACCCACAGCCUAUAUUAAGAGUUCAUUAGAAUUUAUAUGAAGUCAGAAAAGUGACAUAGAUUGAAGAAAAAGAGAAAAGUUUCGGCAUACUUUUUUUUUCCCCUUCCUUUUGUAAGUGAAAGACUACGAAAUGACGAUCUUGAAUUAAUAUUUUAGGAACAAAAACACACUGACCGCCUAUCUGCCAUUAAAAAUGAAGUAGAAUGUAAAUGAUGCAAGAAAAGCAGCAAAGAAGAGAAAAAGAUAAGCUAAAUUACAUACACAAUGCAUAUUAUCAAGCUUUCAUGAUGUUCCAAAAUGGCAUGUGAAUGGAGCAGAUUCAUAAGUGUUCUUACAUUUCGGAAAGAACUACCAUGGAUUCAGCUCCAGUUGCAAUAGUUAAAGCAUAAACCAGUUUAUUUUGUUUCUAUUCAAUGUUUUUUUUUAAAGUAUAUAUGUGUAUACAAACUUUCAUCGAUCCGCAUCAUAUUACUCAACACUAUUCUUUGUUCUCAAGCUUUUAAUUUUCUUCUCCUUGAAAUAAAUAUGUGUAUCAUUUAACACAUCAGAUUAAGCUCCUGACUCUUAUUUUAAUUAACUAAUUAGCGCGUACAAGUAGUUCCCCAUACCUUCUGUAAGGAGAUAUUCUCAGUCCCCUGCAGAACUUCACUUGGUUACCAAUUACCAGCACAUAAAAAUCCAAACAACACGGGAUUACUUCAAACUCAGUAGUAUCCUGCAAAUGCAAGGGAACAGUGGAUGUCAUUUGUCCAUCUGUAAACCAUUAAAUGGUUAAAAAUUGAGAGUAAGAAUUCAUAGCAGUCUAUGAAACAGUUGUAUCAGUGACAAUCAUCCAAGUUUUUGUUGCAUCUCUCGAGUUUUCUAUUAUUCUCCAACGUCUUACGUAAACAUCUUAACCGAAAAAUUUAAUUAAUUACGCUAGCAUUGGAAUUAAAAGAUAAAAUCUUAGUAAAUUGUAAAUUUGACUAUUCUUAAGUUGUUGGAUAAACCACUUGACCGAUCGAAAAGGUAAAUCAAAUAUUAGAACUAUUAUUAGUAGCUAAGCCACUACACGUGGAAAUGUGGAAACGAUAUGUAUUAUUUAAAAAUUAUGCGGAUCCCAACUAUUCUGAAGAGAGAAAAUUUUUAUUUGUCUUCGUGAAAAAUUGUGCAAUGUAGAUGACUAUAUAUACUAGUCAAUUAAUGAAUGGGUAAUAAGGCAUAAAUAAAUAAACAAAUGUAAAUAUACGAUAUUAAUUAGUUAAUGCUCAUACCCGAAUUGGCUAGCUCUCUGGUAAGCAAUAAGCACGAAGAUGAAGAGAAAGUAGAAUUUGGCUUAGUCAAGCUUCUUGAUGAGUUAAAUAAAAACAUUUUGUUCCAAGAUGAAAGCUGCACCUUUAUGGCAUUAUCCUUGGGAAGAGUAAUCAAGAGUGAGCCGAGGUAGAUAAUAGCUUAGAAUAUAUGUUGAAGAUAAUCAGUUUAUUGGAGGGUAAAUCGAAAUUAAUCAGUCAAUUAAUCUUGCGGGUAGCUAGCUAGACACUAACAAGUGACAAAGAAUGGAAUUAUAAAUUAUAUUAGGCCAUUAACGCUUUACACAAUCAGUUAAUAUUAUCAAGCUUUCUAUGAAAUGAAGUUGUAAAUGCAAGUGAAGAGAGUAGAAUCAUAAAUUUUCUCUUAUUGCCUAAAGGAAUCACAUGUUAUAUCCCAAAUUAAGCUUCAUGUCUUAUUGUAAGUAUCCAUGCAUAACACUAUAAAACACAUAAAAAAUUGUAGAUUCAUCUCUAAUUGACUAAAGAAUAAUAAUACUAGUUAAUCCAUAAGAACAGUGUCACGUACCUUUCGUAAGGAGAUAUUCUCAGUCCUUGCCGCUUCACCUGGCUACCAAUUACCGGUAUUCCAAAACAGUAAUAUUAUGCAAAAGAAAGGGAGCACAAAAAAAAAAAAUUAAUAAAUGAAGGAAAAAAAAGAGAAAAAACGAAAUGAAAAUAAAGUAGGGAUAAAAAGGAAUAAAUUGUCCAAUCAUAAUCCAUUUAAAUGGUUGCAGAAAAGAAAGCACGAAUUCAUGGCUAGUGUACAUAACAACAGCUGUAUCCGUACAAUGGAAAAAAUCUUUUUUUCUCAGUCCUUGUCGAUUCAAAAGUUUAUUUCAUUACUUUAAGACAAAACUGUACGUGGUACGUAGAUGACUAUAGAAAUUAAGAAAAAGGUAAUAAGCUAUAAAUAAUUAUACAAAACCAAAAGUAAAUUCGAUGCCAAAAGACAAUACCGAAAAUUGGAGAAAGUUGUCCUUGAAAAUUGAGCUGCGCUUCAGCUUGAUUAGAACUUUGCAAAGUCUCUGAUUAGCAAUAGGCAAGAAGAUGAAGAUAAAAAACAGAAUUUGGCAAGUCAAGCAUCUUGAUGAGUUAAAUAAAAACAUUUUAUUCCAAGGUGACAGAUGCACGUAUUCUUUGCUGCUUUCACCAUGAAAGUUAAUGAGAAGCUAAAGGAAAAAAAAAUGCCAAAAGUAAAGCAAGGUUGAUGAAGAUGAUAAUAAAGGAAUGUUGUGUUCCCAAGAAAUUCCUUCCUUAUUUCCUUAUUUUUCCCUUUGCCUUUUUACUUUUUUUUUAAAAAAAAUUAUUUAUUAAAAUUGUGUUGCAAGAGUGAGGCUGUCAGGUGACGUUUAUAUCUGUUUCUAAAUUAAAUCUCCUUGACGUGGCCUCACAAAAAAUUGAAUCACUCAUUGAGGGAGUGACAAUUUAAGGCCGUAAAAAUCAGUCACAGAUUGUUUGAUGAAGUUGAUUUACUUUAUUAUCAUCUUCAUCAACCUUGCUUUACUUUUGGCAUUUUCUUAUUUUUCCCUUUUCCUUUUUACUUUUUUUUUUAAAAUUAUUUAUUAAAAUUGUGUUGCAAGAGUGAAGCUGUCAGGUGACGUUUAUAUAUGUUUCUAAAUUAAAUCUCCUUGACAUGGCCUCACAAAAAAUUGAAUCACUCAUUGAGGGAGUGACAAUUUAAGGCCGUAAAAAUCAGUCACAGAUUGUUUGAUGAAGUUGAUGUAUGCCUCCUUAACAUGAUAAUGAGCACAUAUGAUAACAUAUAUACGUGAGUAAACUAUUAAGUAAAAUUAAUGAACGUGUGGGUACCUCUUAUUUAGCUUUCACAGAUUCAUUGUGGUUUACUUAAAAUCUUGUAGCAAAAAGGAAACACUCACGCAUAUUAAGUGGACUCUAACAUAACCGAACUCAAAAUUCAUUAUUAGUUUCGGUUUGGUUGGGUUAACUCUAAAACCCAUUUGGGUUAAUUUUCGUAACUUGAACGAGUUACAAUUCAAAUCAGUUUAAAAUCAACGAAAACAAAUGAAAAAUAUCUCAAUUAAAAUCACCUAAUCCAACCUCCUCCUCAAUUAAAACAACCUACAAUCGUCCUUGAAGCCACGAAGGGGAAGCAACUGCACCUUCCCUUCGUCCUUGAAGCUGUAAUCGUCUUUACGCUGACGUUAAUAUCCCACAUCAGGUGAGACGCAGCUGCUCUUGCCUGCUACUAUAGCUACUAUAUAUUUUUGGACCAAGAGCCCAAUUAGGUAACAGAAUUUGGGCUUUGUUUAAAGAUUUACGAAUUUUACAGUCAUGUCCAAUAUUUUGAAUAAUUUAUACAUAUAAUGUAAUCAAUUUUUUUUCUCUCUUUUGAAGCCAAAAGGAGCAUUUUUUGCGGUAUUACUUUGCAGGCAUCCACUAGCGGUAGAUGCUCAUUUAUUGAUGUCGAGUGUUGAUCACCCGUCUAUUAGUGGUGAAUACAGUAGAAACCUAUCUAUCAACGAUUACUACCAUCCUACUGUGAGGUAAGGUUGGAAAAAGGUUGGGUUGGAUCAUGUUUGCAAAAAUCUAACCCAAUCCGCUAUUAAUGACUACAAGAAAUUUGUCAAAGUAAGGGGGUAUGUGAGGAGCAAGACAAAAAAGGAUGAGCACGAGAUAAUACGAGCAAUACACAAACCUAGAGUGCAAAAGAGGGAAUGAAUAUGAAUAUGAAUAUUCUUACCAUCAAUAGGAGCUACUUGACCCUAGUUAUCUCCAACAAAAGAAAUUUAUUUUUUCAGUCAUCACUCGAGGUGGGGAUGUUGGUUGUGAUCCUCCUUGUUUUGGUGCUCGUCAUAAAAUAAUAUUGGUGACAGUCCUUGGGGCUACUCCUUAUUUGGUACAAAUGCUUAAUUUCAUCAACACUAGGCUCUCCUUGCUCGCACUUACUCCAUAAAAUGAAUAGACUAGAGAACACUCUCUAUCCUUUCGGGUUUAAUUGACUAGGAGCCAAAUUCACCCUACCCAGUAUUCGAAUUAAUUAGGAUUGCAGGGCAAGCUUAACACCCAUAUUAAAAUAUUAUAAGUACAACGUUACAUAUCCUCUAAGAGGAUGAUUAUGUGUAUCUUUCAGACUUGACACCUUAAGAUAUAUGUCUUUAGGUAUAUCAUAAGCCUCCCGAAGUCUAUCUAGAACACUUUCCUUAGUACUAUACUUAAUUCGUCUGUGGAGUAAGAUUCGACAUGACACCACUGAAUUUUCUCUUUUUGGCUAGUUGAGCCUCUUAUAUUGAGUUUUCCCCGCUACUAGUGCUCCUUGCUCUAUUUUCACUAGGAGUUCGAUUAGAAGUCGUGUCCUCACCCUCAUCCUCGUCAUUUGACCCACUAGCCUCAGUAGUUAUUCUUUUCGAAGAAUCAUUCGAGAAAAGAACAAACAAGCUUUAGAAAGAUCUUCAAGGCAUAAAAUGCUGGUGACUUGUUAUAUUUACAAUUAACAAUAAAAGAACAUAAAUAUUACCCUUUUUAUUCCACUAAUUAUAGCAAAGAAUUCUUUUAAAUAAGUAAUACGGUACAGAUUCACAAGCUCAACAACAGACGAGGACCAAAAAGAAAAGGCAUUAUUAUAAUGAAUUAACGUUUAACUCGAAAUUGCAAUUACUCACAACUACUGGUACAAAUAGACCUGUAGAACCUAAUAGCAGAUGGUUUAAAGGGAAUAGUAGGUUUAAAAGUCCUACGCUUCAGAUGCAUAAAGGUGAUAAAUUUGAUUUGAAUUGCGAGAUUAACAGCUUAAUUUGUGAAUACUUGCAACUGGGCUUACUUGCUUUGUUUGUUUUUGUUUAAAUGUUUCAAAAAAUUGAACUGUUUGGAAUUUACGGUUGUGCUUGAUUAGUUGAAAAUACGUUUAUGCAAUGAAGGUUAAUUUCUUUAAUAUUUUCAACAAGUUUUUAUGAAUCUAUUGUUGUGUUUUUAUAAAAAUUCUGUAUAUUAUAAUGAUUUGUAUCUGUUUGUAAAUUGCAGAGAUAGUGGACUUCUGUGAUUUUCUAUCUCCAACUUCAGAGGAACGAGAGGUUCGCACCACUGCAGGAGAAGCUGUGCUUGAUCUUUUUAAGUAUACAUGGCCCAAGUGCAAGGUAUGAUAAGAUGCUAUCUCUUUCUUUUUGUCUGUGCUUUCUCUGAUUUUGUGGUAGGCAUGGUUGUCUUACUAAUGUUGCUUUAUAGCCUAAAGUUUUUGGGACCUUCAGAACUGGGCUUUAUCUUCCAACCAGUGAUAUCGAUGUAAGUAUGAUGAUUUUUCUGCAUCUCCUCUUUGUGAUUUUAGGAACUUUUUUCAGUGAUUUAUCAUUUUCUUCCUCUAUUGUAAUGUGAAACAUAAGAAUCUAUGUUGUCUAGUACUGGCGUUGAUCAGUUUAAUUAAUUAUUAUCUUAAUUAAGGCUUUCGCUGAAAGCUUUGGUUCUAGGUUGUGAUUAUGGAAUCUGGUAUCCAUAACCCAGCAACUGGUUUGCAAGCUCUUUCUAGGGCAUUAUUGCAACGGGGCAUUGCCAAAAAGAUACAGGUGGAAUUCCCUUAACAAUUACCUUGUUUUGGUUUUUUUAUUUAUUAAUAGAAUAAUUUUUAAUGAAUUGAUCUAUCCUCUUUUUAGGUGAUCGCGAAGGCUCGUGUGCCGAUUGUUAAAUUUUUCGAGAAAAAAAGUGGUGUUUCAUUUGAUAUAAGGUUUAUUUCUUACCUUACGCACCAGCUGCAUCUAAAGCCUACAUUGCAAAUUUCAUGUGUGUGAUUUUGCCUUUGUUGACAUCUUAAUUUGAGCAUGCUGGGGUCUUGUUGGAGAUUUAAGGUUUGGUGGUCUACAGUUGAACGGUUGAAGUUGGUUUCUGUAAUUCAAGUUAUGGCAAGAAUGUUUUAGUCUGCUCUAAGAAAUUGCUGCAAGUGGGACCUAUUUUCCAUUGCCAUGCUUAGUAGGGUUUAUUAAUAAUGAGUGAGUGUGUAGAGAUAUUUAUGUGCAUCUCAUAUAGAGGGAUAUGUGCGUUAUCCACUCAUCCUAUCAUUGUUCCUGCUUGAUCAGAACUGUAUCUUCUCUGCCUUCCAUUGGUCUCUGAUCAUUUCGGUUAUCCCGAUGUCAGUCAUUUGUGGCUAUCCUAAGAACUUGGCUUGUUUGUCUUCAUUGAUUUUAACUUCUUGUUUAGUCGCGUUGCUUGCUAGUUUUGACUCUUUCUGUAUUUUUCAUCUUUGAAAGUACUUUUUCCUGUUAAAAGAAAAAUAAAGUCAUAAAAUUUAUUUUUUCUGCAUUUGUACAGAGAUUAACAUUCUUUUUCCUUGUAACUGUAACCAAAAAGAAGCAAAUGAUGAUAAUUAGGAAAGAAAGGGCACUGUUCCAUUUUCGACAUCUAUAAAUUAUAUUGGUUUUAACUGUUAUUGUUACUUAAUGGGUUUGUUGGAGACGUGGUUUUGUUGGUGGAGGAUUGAACAUAAGCUUACUUCUUAAUACAUAAAUUAUACCAGAUUAACAAUUUAAUGUGCACGCACACAAAUACAAAUAGUUGAUUUUCUAAUUUUAUUUUUUAUUUUAAAUUGAUUAUUUUAAAAAAAUCUAUAAGAAACAUUUCAGCGAGAUGUUGAAUACCAGAAUCAAUCAAGAUGUUACCUGUUCAGGCUUCAAAAUGUGAUAUUAGUAACCAACGCUUUUGAUGCGCUGUGUUUGUGCCGUCACCUUUUCCUUUUUCUUCUCUUGCUUAGUUUCUGGGUGUUUCUAAUUACAUUUAGCUAUGCAUGAUAGUACAGAAAAAUCAUUUUAGUGAGUCACAUGUGUGUUGAUUUGAUAUCUUGCUCAUUUCUUUUACAUAUUGGUGUUGUGGACUGGGGAAGUGAGAGUGCUGUAUGUUGAGAACAUCUCACUGCUGUCUUCAAUGAGUGAAGGGGCUCAUAUUCAUCAUAUUACUGAAAUUGGUCUGAAAAUAGAUUUAUUGUACAUUAUCAUCAGCUAUGAACUCCAUUUUGUUGUCGGGAAUAUUCAUCAAUUUUCUUCCACUUUGAUGACAGUUUUGAUGCACAAAAUGGACCAAAAGCAGCUGAGUUUAUUAAGGUUUGUUCCUCACCUAUCUUUUUACGGGACCUGAUAGCGGUUGCAAUUCUUUAAUAAAUUUCAGAUGAGAAAAUUUUUUGCAACUUUGAAUAUUACUUGUGCAUUACUCAUUGGGUUUUGAACAUCUCUCGGAUAAGGCUUAGCAUGCUAUAACCAUUAGUUGUAUUAGGUUCUACAGUUUACUUGCUCUCAUAAAUGCAUGUUGAUGUGGAAAAAAGAUGAGAAAUGUGUGGAAAUCCUUGGUAGAAUGCGAAAUUUUUGUUGGAAAUUGUGAAUAUCACUGUGGCAUUUUAUAUGUUUGCACGGAAUUGAUUAUCUUGAAGUUAUUAAAGGAGAAAGAAGAUAUACUUGUAUAAUCUUGUGAAUUUUUAACUUAUUAGCCUCCUUUGUUAUCACUGAGUACCAAGAUAUUUUUGGACUUGUUUGGUGAGUUUGCUUGGUGUCUCCAUCAUCCUACUUCUUGGGCCAUUUUUGGGAUCUUGUCAUCAGUUUUGUAUUGCUGGUCUCUUUUUUUUAUUGUAGUUGUGCUUCACCUGAUUGUAGUUCUGCUUCACCUAAUAAUUUGGUAUAAAGAUUAUGCAUUUUGUUACUAUUAUUGUGAUGAUGAAUGUUUAGUUUUGGCUUUUCAGAUUUACUCUGUAUUUUGUUAAAAUUUAUUUCGUGUCCUGACAAGAUUAAACUCUAUAUGCUUUACGAAUUUACUGGUAAAAUGUUAUUUCUUUAUGCGUUGCUGUAUCUUUGUUUUCAAACUCAAACGCUUUAUAAAAAAUAAGAAAUUCAGUACAACAUAUUUUAUAAAUUUUUAUCCAUUUAAUGUGUGCACUAUUUACUCAGGAUGCAUUGGCUGAGUGCCCGCCAUUACGUCCAUUAUGUUUGAUCUUGAAAGUCUUUUUGCAGCAGAGAGAAUUGAAUGAGGUUAGACUUUGAUAGUGCUGUCCAUUCUUUAAGGCUUUCUGUUAUUACAAGUUGUUUAAUUUAUAUUUCUUUGAACUGUAUAGGUAUAUUCUGGUGGAAUUGGUUCCUUUGCUCUCCUUACCAUGAUAAUGGCAGUCUUGAAGGUAAGUUUAUGUUGUAUUCUUGGUUUUCACCUCGAUAGGCCCUGUAAUCUCACGGUUGGCGUUACCCUAUGAUAUGUUUUUGUCUUUCUAUCAUCAUUGUCUAAUCAAAGGACAAUUUGUAAUUAUUUUUUAAUAUUAGUUUAAGAUUAAGAUUUGGGAAUGAGACCUGAUGUGGCUCUGAAAGAUAUUUAUUCCUGGAACUUAGAGAGCUAGCUAAAGUUUGUUCCUUGCAUCUCUUCAGUUAUAUUUCAAUACCUGAAACUGCAUCAGAGUUCUGCAUACUUAACUGCAUCCUUCUUUUAGUAAAUUGAAAUGAAGUGUAAUAUGGUUCCUGGCAAACCUUAAAGUUAUGUUCACGAACAACUAGGUCCACUGUGUGUCAUCAGUUCUGCACUGUAAAUGUCCCAAUACAUGGUUUUUAUGGUAAUUUAUGUCAUUGUGAAGAGCUCCUACGAAUCAGAGUAUAGUAGGUUCAUUCCAGUACCAUUGUGACAAUCAAGCAGCGAGCUCGUCAGUGAAAGUGGUGGGCUGGGGUGAAGACUUAAAGUAAUUGAUGCAUAACCUUAAAAAAAUCCCCUUCUCCCUAUAUUAAAUUUUGAAAUAAGUCUUCAAAAUCCUUCAUUCUCUUAGCCCAUAUGCCGGGCGCGCCAUUUUUUAAUAAUACCAGUCCUAAAUUUCAACAAAGACUAUUGUCUCGUGAUUUUUUUGUUUCCCUUUUGACUGGACUAAUUUGGCAGUUGAUGCAGACAGUGUUCUGUGGUUAUUAAUCCAGUCUGCUUAAGAGUUGCCAGACCUUAAGAAUAUAUAUAUAUAUUAAUAGCCUUCAAUUCUUAUAAUCGCUCCAAGUGAACUAUUCAUUAAUUCACCAGCAUUAUGCAUUAUAAUGGACAUUUUUUUUUUCUCAGAUAGUUAAUGAUGUUCCUUAUAUGGCAUAUUUGCAGUCUCUCUACAAGUGUCGAGCUUCUCCAGAACAUAAUUUGGGAAUCCUUUUGGUAUGUGCUUGGAUUAAACUGUUGUGUGCAUGGAUAUGUUGUUCUUCCAGUAGGUGCAGUGACUUACAUUUCUAAGCCAGCUUGAUCACACCUCUAGUGAGGUUGGACAUGUUCAUUGCACAUGCAAAUGCUAAAAAAGAAUGAUUUAACAUUAAAAUAAAUGGACUAAGGAAUGCUGUUUGUCAGCCAUAAUUGUUGUAAAUUGAGAUAUAUGAACUCUUCGUACUAACCUCUCUUCUUUUUCUUUUUUUUUUUUUAAUUUGGUGAAAAAACAGGUGAACUUCUUUGAUUUUUAUGGACGCAAAUUGAAAACCACCGAUGUUGGUGUAUCCUGCAAAGGGGCAGGCUCCUUCUUUAAGAAGAGUAGCAAAGGGUAAAAAGAAUGACAAUCAUGCCGACUACACUUAUUUUUCAGUUAAAAAUUAUAUUUUCUGAUUGGUAGGUACUAACUGUCUUUGUUUCAUGGGUUCUCUUCUUUUAGGUUUACAAACAAGGGGCGACCAUUUCUCAUCGCCAUUGAGGAUCCACAGGUUUACUUUUAAUUUUAGAUAUUUAUUUGUUAUUUAUUGUUUGUAGGACAGCUUGAGAAACAAUAGGAGGAAUGGAGGAUGUUUUAUGAAAUCAAAAUAUUUGCUUUUCUGAUGUUUUCAUUUUACUUUAAGUGCUUAGUUGGAUAUGUUCCCAAAAGAAAUUGUGGUUGGUUUUUUAUGAAGCUCGUAGUGAAUUCUCAAACAGGGAUCUUGUUAUCCUUGGCACAUCACCUCAUUUUACAAUUUAUCAACAGAUUAAAGAGUAUAUGUAGUAUUUUGUGAGUCACUUGUUUGAUUUGUCAAUAGCACAUGAAUUUAUUUAAUGGAGUUCUGCCAGUGAACAUUGGCUCUUGCAUUCUUCUGUUAUUGAUUAGUAUUGCUAUCUUUAUGACAAAAUAGGCUCCAGAUAAUGCCAUUGGGAAGAACUCCUUUAAUUAUUUCCAGGUUUGUGGAAUAAUUUGUGUCUAAAUUCCUUUUGUUUUCUUGGCUAUUGAUGCAGUGUGCAUGAUGUUUGUUCUCUUUUGCAGAUUAAAUCAGCUUUUGCAAUGGCAUUUACAACCUUGACAAAUCCAAAGACCAUCUUGAGCCUAGGCCAAACAGAAGCAUUCUUGGUACAAUAAUUAGGCCAGACCCAGUCUUGCUGGAGCGCAAAGGAGGAUCUAAUGGUGAGAUAACUUUUAACAGCUUACUUCCUGGAGCAGGGGAGCCAUUAAAAACACACUUUGGAGAUCAGCGGGAGAUUAUGUGCAAUUGGCAGUCAGAUUAUGAAGAAGAGUCAUU
Molecule: long non-coding RNA, 29658 nt
Filed under: Citrus x clementina
Lineage: Eukaryota; Viridiplantae; Streptophyta; Magnoliopsida; Sapindales; Rutaceae
Description: Citrus clementina (C. clementina) long non-coding RNA (CCLE_LNC006699)
Source: RNAcentral